This 510-nucleotide ribosomal RNA is filed under the name uncultured bacterium. Its description in RNAcentral is "partial 16S ribosomal RNA". It matches the Rfam family "Bacterial small subunit ribosomal RNA", at positions 28 to 507 of the family's 1533-position model. The record is from RNAcentral.
GACGAACGCUGGCGGCGUGCUUAACACAUGCAAGUCGAACGAAGAGCGACGGAAGCUUGCUUCUAUCAAUCUUAGUGGCGAACGGGUGAGUAACGCGUAAUCAACCUGCCCUUCAGAGGGGGACAACAGUUGGAAACGACUGCUAAUACCGCAUACGAUCUAACCUCGGCAUCGAGGAUAGAUGAAAGGUGGCCUCUACAUGUAAGCUAUCACUGAAGGAGGGGAUUGCGUCUGAUUAGCUAGUUGGAGGGGUAACGGCCCACCAAGGCGAUGAUCAGUAGCCGGUCUGAGAGGAUGAACGGCCACAUUGGGACUGAGACACGGCCCAGACCCCUACGGGAGGCAGCAGUGGGGAAUCUUCCGCAAUGGACGAAAGUCUGACGGAGCAACGCCGCGUGAGUGAUGACGGCCUUCGGGUUGUAAAGCUCUGUUAAUCGGGACGAAAGGCCUUCUUGCGAAUAGUGAGAAGGAUUGACGGUACCGGAAUAGAAAGCCACGGCUAACUACGUG